RNAcentral lists this ribosomal RNA (497 nucleotides) under uncultured bacterium. RNAcentral's name for it is "partial 16S ribosomal RNA". It matches the Rfam family "Bacterial small subunit ribosomal RNA", at positions 28 to 507 of the family's 1533-position model. The record is from RNAcentral.
GACGAACGCUGGCGGCGUGCCUAAUACAUGCAAGUUGAGCGCUGAAGGUUGGUCCUUGUACCAACUGGAUGAGCAGCGAACGGGUGAGUAACGCGUGGGGAAUCUGCCUUUGAGCGGGGGACAACAUUUGGAAACGAAUGCUAAUACCGCAUAAAAACUUUAAACACAAGUUUUAAGUUUGAAAGAUGCAAUUGCAUCACUCAAAGAUGAUCCCGCGUUGUAUUAGCUAGUUGGUGAGGUAAAGGCUCACCAAGGCGAUGAUACAUAGCCGACCUGAGAGGGUGAUCGGCCACAUUGGGACUGAGACACGGCCCAAACUCCUACGGGAGGCGGCAGUAGGGAAUCUUCGGCAAUGGACGAAAGUCUGACCGAGCAACGCCGCGUGAGUGAAGAAGGUUUUCGGAUCGUAAAACUCUGUUGGUAGAGAAGAACGUUGGUGAGAGUGGAAAGCUCAUCAAGUGACGGUAACUACCCAGAAAGGGACGGCUAACUACGUG